Molecule: ribosomal RNA, 264 nt
Filed under: uncultured bacterium
Lineage: Bacteria
Description: partial 16S ribosomal RNA
Source: RNAcentral
CUGCUGCCUUCCGUAGGAGUUUGGGCCGUGUCUCAGUCCCAAUGUGGCCGUCCACCCUCUCAGGCCGGCUACUGAUCGUCGCCUUGGUGGGCCGUUACCCCGCCAACAAGCUAAUCAGACGCGGGUCCAUCUUAUACCACCGGAGUUUUUCACACUGGGCCAUGCAGCCCCGUGCGCUUAUGCGGUAUUAGCACCUAUUUCUAAGUGUUAUCCCCCUGUAUAAGGCAGGUUACCCACGCGUUACUCACCCGUCCGCCACUAAGA